AUUGAACGCUGGCGGCAUGCCUUACACAUGCAAGUCGAACGGCAGCACGGGUGCUUGCUCCUGGUGGCGAGUGGCGAACGGGUGAGUAAUACAUCGGAACAUGUCCUGUAGUGGGGGAUAGCCCGGCGAAAGCCGGAUUAAUACCGCAUACGAUCUACGGAUGAAAGCGGGGGACCUUCGGGCCUCGCGCUAUAGGGUUGGCCGAUGGCUGAUUAGCUAGUUGGUGGGGUAAAGGGCUACCAAGGCGACGAUCAGUAGCUGGUGUGAGAGGACGAGCAGCCACACUGGGGCUGAGACACGGCCCAGACUCCUACGAGAGGCAGCAGUGGGGAAUUUUGGACAAUGGGCGAAAGCCUGAUCCAGCAAUGCCGCGUGUGUGAAGAAGGCCUUCGGGUUGUAAAGCACUUUUGUCCGGAGAGAAAUCCUUGGCCCUAAUACGGUCGGGGGAUGACGGUACCGGAAGAAUAAGCACCGGCUAACUACGUG
Molecule: ribosomal RNA, 486 nt
Filed under: uncultured bacterium
Lineage: Bacteria
Description: partial 16S ribosomal RNA
Rfam family: Bacterial small subunit ribosomal RNA
Source: RNAcentral